This 443-nucleotide ribosomal RNA is filed under the name uncultured bacterium. Its description in RNAcentral is "partial 16S ribosomal RNA". It matches the Rfam family "Bacterial small subunit ribosomal RNA", at positions 338 to 795 of the family's 1533-position model. The record is from RNAcentral.
CCUACGGGAGGCAGCAGUGGGGAAUAUUGCACAAUGGGCGAAAGCCUGAUGCAGCAACGCCGCGUGAAGGAAGAAGGGUUUCGGCUCGUAAACUUCUAUCAACAGGGACGAAAGAAAUGACGGUACCUGAAUAAGAAGCCUCGGCUAACUACGUGCCAGCAGCCGCGGUAAUACGGGUGGUGCAAGCGUUGUCCGGAAUCAUUGGGCGUAAAGCGUUCGUAGGCGGCAAGGUAAGUCUGAUGUUAAAGCCCGGGGCUCAACUCCGGUUCGGCAUUGGAUACUAUCUAGCUAGAAUGUGGUAGAGGUAAAGGGAAUUCCUGGUGUAGCGGUGAAAUGCGUAGAUAUCAGGAGGAACAUCGGUGGCGAAAGCGCUUUACUGGACCAUUAUUGACGCUGAGGAACGAAAGCCAGGGGAGCAAAUGGGAUUAGAUACCCGUGUAGUC